UGGAUGAGUUGCUAACGGGUGAGUAACGCGUAGGUAACCUGCCUUGUAGCGGGGGGUAACUAUUGGAAACGAUAGCUAAUACCGCAUAACAAUGGAUGACACAUGUCAUUUAUUUGAAAGGGGCAAUUGCUCCACUACAAGAUGGACCUGCGUUGUAUUAGCUAGUAGGUGAGGUAAUGGCUCACCUAGGCGACGAUACAUAGCCGACCUGAGAGGGGGAUCGGCCACACUGGGACUGAGACACGGCCCAUACUCCUACGGGAGGCAGCAGUAGGGAAUCUUCGGCAAUGGGGGCAACCCUGACCGAGCAACCCCGCGUGAGUAAAGAAGGUUUUCGGAUCGUAAAGCUCUGUUGUAAGUCAAGAACGGGUGUCAGAGUGGAAAGUUCACACUGUGACGGUCGCUUACCAGAAAGGGAC
RNAcentral lists this ribosomal RNA (419 nucleotides) under Streptococcus thermophilus. RNAcentral's name for it is "bacterial SSU rRNA". It matches the Rfam family "Bacterial small subunit ribosomal RNA", at positions 88 to 494 of the family's 1533-position model. Lineage: Bacteria; Bacillati; Bacillota; Bacilli; Lactobacillales; Streptococcaceae. The record is from RNAcentral.